Molecule: ribosomal RNA, 468 nt
Filed under: uncultured bacterium
Lineage: Bacteria
Description: partial 16S ribosomal RNA
Rfam family: Bacterial small subunit ribosomal RNA
Source: RNAcentral
GACGAACGCUGGCGGCGUGCUUAACACAUGCAAGUCGAACGGAAAGGCCCUGCUUUUGUGGGGUGCUCGAGUGGCGAACGGGUGAGUAACACGUGAGUAACCUGCCCUUGACUUUGGGAUAACUUCGGGAAACUGGGGCUAAUACCGGAUAGGAGCUCCUGCUGCAUGGUGGGGGUGGGAAAGUUUCGGCGGUUGGGGAUGGACUCGCGGCUUAUCAGCUUGUUGGUGGGGUAGUGGCUUACCAAGGCUUUGACGGGUAGCCGGGCUGAGAGGGUGACCGGCCAAAAUGGGACUGGGAUACGGCCCGGACUCCUACGGGAGGGAGCAGUGGGGGAGAUUGCACAAUGGGCGGAAGGCCGGAGCAAGAACGCCGCGUGCGGGAUGACGGCCUUCGGGUUGGAAACCGCUUUCGCCUGUGACGAAGCGUGAGUGACGGUAAUGGGUAAAGAAGCACCGGCUAACUACGUG